RNAcentral lists this ribosomal RNA (429 nucleotides) under Chloroflexota bacterium. RNAcentral describes it as "Chloroflexi bacterium partial 16S ribosomal RNA". It matches the Rfam family "Bacterial small subunit ribosomal RNA", at positions 355 to 776 of the family's 1533-position model. Lineage: Bacteria; Bacillati; Chloroflexota. The record is from RNAcentral.
UGGGGAAUAUUGCACAAUGGGCGCAAGCCUGAUGCAGCCAUGCCGCGUGUAUGAAGAAGGCCUUCGGGUUGUAAAGUACUUUCAGCGGGGAGGAAGGGAGUAAAGUUAAUACCUUUGCUCAUUGACGUUACCCGCAGAAGAAGCACCGGCUAACUCCGUGCCAGCAGCCGCGGUAAUACGGAGGGUGCAAGCGUUAAUCGGAAUUACUGGGCGUAAAGCGCACGCAGGCGGUUUGUUAAGUCGGAUGUGAAAUCCCCGGGCUUAACCCGGGAAUUGCAUCUGAUACUGGUCAGCUAGAGUCUUGUAGAGGGGGGUAGAAUUCCAUGUGUAGCGGUGAAAUGCGUAGAGAUGUGGAGGAAUACCGGUGGCGAAGGCGGCCCCCUGGACAAAGACUGACGCUCAGGUGCGAAAGCGUGGGGAGCAAACAGG